UCAAAACAGCGGCCUUCGGUCCUCUGCUGCACCCUUGUCUUUUGCGCACCGUAAUUGUUUCCUCGGCGGGCUUGCCUGCCGGUUGGACAUCAUAAAACCCUUUUGUAGUUGCAAUCAGCGUCAGAAAAAUCAUAAUUAUUA
RNAcentral lists this unclassified non-coding RNA (141 nucleotides) under soil metagenome. RNAcentral's name for it is "partial internal transcribed spacer 1". The record is from RNAcentral.